Bolinopsis microptera is the source of this 498-nucleotide long non-coding RNA. RefSeq lists it as uncharacterized. The transcript is spliced from 3 exons. Lineage: Eukaryota; Metazoa; Ctenophora; Tentaculata; Lobata; Bolinopsidae. The record is from RefSeq and is a predicted model, not a curated record.
GGUCGUGGAGGAGGCUGUCAAUACCAUUGGUCAAUAGAAAAGCAUAUGCCUGCAAAGAACAGGGAGUACAGGGUUUGCUUUAGGGAGACUGAAGGUUCCAGCCAAUGUCAAGGAUCAAGAACCACAUGUACUGGUUGGAGCAGCAGUUGCCCACACUUUUCAGCACCAUUCCAUGACGACACCGAUAACAGAGGUGGGGGAUGUAACUACAGCUGGAAAGUUGAAGAGCAGGCCAGUGCAAACAAUAUCCCACAAAUCUGUAGGGUAUGUUUUAGAGAGACUGAAGGUUCCAGCCAAUGCCAGGGCAGCAGAGCCACGUGCAGUGGCUAUUCUAAUGGGGCCUGGACAGCAGGGUUCAGAGACGACACUGAUGAUAGAAGCGGGGGUUGUGCUUACUCUUGGAAACUUGAGUGUGAAAACAUAUGGUAAAGACAGUUAAAAGACAGUUCAGCCUGUAACAAAUCGUUUAGUAAAUGAGCAUCUAAGGGAUGGAAGUAA